UACGGAGGGUGCAAGCGUUGUUCGGAAUUAUUGGGCGUAAAGGGCAAGUAGGUGGUCUCGUAAGUCUACUGUGAAAUCCCCCGGGCUUAACUCGGGAAGUGCGGUGGAUACUGCGAGACUAGAGUAUCGGAGGGGGGGACUGGAAUUCUCGGUGUAGCAGUGAAAUGCGUAGAUAUCGAGAGGAACACCAGUGGCGAAGGCGAGUCCCUGGACAACACCUGACACUGAGGCACGAAAGCUAGGGGAGCAAACAGG
RNAcentral lists this ribosomal RNA (255 nucleotides) under uncultured bacterium. Its description in RNAcentral is "partial 16S ribosomal RNA". It matches the Rfam family "Bacterial small subunit ribosomal RNA", at positions 524 to 776 of the family's 1533-position model. The record is from RNAcentral.